RNAcentral lists this ribosomal RNA (337 nucleotides) under uncultured eukaryote. Its description in RNAcentral is "SSU rRNA". It matches the Rfam family "Eukaryotic small subunit ribosomal RNA", at positions 592 to 935 of the family's 1831-position model. The record is from RNAcentral.
CAAUAGCGUAUAUUAAAGUUGUUGCGGUUAAAGCUCGUAGUUGGAUUUCUGCCGAGGACGACCGGUCCGCCCUCUGGGUGAGUAUCUGGCUUGGCCUGGGCAUCUUCUUGGAGAACGUAGCUGCACUUGACUGUGUGGUGCGGUAUCCAGGACUUUACUUGAGGAAAUUAGAGUGUUUCAAGCAGGCAUGCGCCUUGAAUACAUUAGCAUGGAAUAAUAAGAUAGGACCUCGGUUCUAUUUUGUUGGUUUCUAGAGCUGAGGUAAUGAUUAAUAGGGAUAGUUGGGGCGAUUCGGUAUUUUAACUGUCAGAGGUGAAAUUCUUGGAUUUGUUAAAAU